This 261-nucleotide ribosomal RNA is filed under the name Clostridioides difficile. RNAcentral's name for it is "partial 16S ribosomal RNA". It matches the Rfam family "Bacterial small subunit ribosomal RNA", at positions 277 to 555 of the family's 1533-position model. Lineage: Bacteria; Bacillati; Bacillota; Clostridia; Peptostreptococcales; Peptostreptococcaceae. The record is from RNAcentral.
CGAUCAGUAGCCGACCUGAGAGGGUGAUCGGCCACAUUGGAACUGAGACACGGUCCAAACUCCUACGGGAGGCAGCAGUGGGGAAUAUUGCACAAUGGGCGAAAGCCUGAUGCAGCAACGCCGCGUGAGGGAUGAAGGCCUUCGGGUCGUAAAACUCUGUCCUCAAGGAAGAUAAUGACGGUACUUGAGGAGGAAGCCCCGGCUAACUACGUGCCAGCAGCCGCGGUAAUACGUAGGGGGCUAGCGUUAUCCGGAUUUACU